CCUACGGGAGGCAGCAGUGAGGAAUAUUGGUCAAUGGGCUUACGCCUGAACCAGCCAAGUCGCGUGAGGGAAGACUGCCCUAUGGGUUGUAAACCUCUUUUGUCAGGGAGCAACGCCGGCUACGUGUAGCCGGACUGAGAGUACCUGAAGAAAAAGCAUCGGCUAACUCCGUGCCAGCAGCCGCGGUAAUCGGGAGGAGGCGAGCGUUAUCCGGAUUGAUUGGGUUUAAAGGGUGCGUAGGCGGAAUGCCAAGUCAGCGGUAAAAUCGCGGGGCUCAACCUCGCUCCGCCGUUGAAACUGGCGUUCUUGAGUGGGCGAGAAGUAUGCGGAAUGCGUGGUGUAGCGGUGAAAUGCAUAGAUAUCACGCAGAACUCCGAUUGCGAAGGCAGCAUACCGGCGCCCAACUGACGCUGAAGCACGAAAGCGUGGGUAUCGAACAGGAUUAGAUACCCCAGUAGUC
This 460-nucleotide ribosomal RNA is filed under the name uncultured bacterium. RNAcentral's name for it is "partial 16S ribosomal RNA". It matches the Rfam family "Bacterial small subunit ribosomal RNA", at positions 338 to 795 of the family's 1533-position model. The record is from RNAcentral.